RNAcentral lists this long non-coding RNA (3466 nucleotides) under Zostera marina. RNAcentral's name for it is "long non-coding RNA (ZMAR_LNC002461)". Lineage: Eukaryota; Viridiplantae; Streptophyta; Magnoliopsida; Alismatales; Zosteraceae. The record is from RNAcentral.
UAUUAAUUAUUAUAACACCCUAUAAUUCAUUGUAACACCAAGGUUUAAAAACCGGUUAAUCAUUUAGGGGUAUUUUCGUAAUAAUAUAGCUCUAUAAAUGGCUAGGGUUUCUUUAAACUUAUAAAAGAGAGGCUUUUAUAAAAAGAAAAUAAUAAAUAACCCAAGAGGCUUUUAAAAAAUAAUAACGUAAUGGGCUGGGCUGGGCCUUCUUUAAUACAUCUACAACAUAAAAAAUACUCUAUAAUAAUAAUUUAUUUAACCACACAUUUUUAGUCCCACAUCGAUAGAAUUCAAAAAACACAAAGAAGGUUGGUCUAUAAAUAAAGAUUCAUUUUGUCUAAAACAAAUAUGAAGUCUAAAGAGUGGGAGGAGCUUAUAUUAAAAAUAAUAUAACUCUUUUCAUGGACCAAUGUAUAAAUUUUUAUACUAAAAAUUUAUAAGGUCUUAAAAUAAAUUUUUUUUGCCUUUUUUUUAAAAUAAAAACAAAACACUGUUUUAAGUUAUUUAAAUAACUUAAAACAGGCCUGGAUCCGGCUAAGGGAGAUGCGCCUGGCGCAUCUCCCUCUGGGGGCGCAUCAUCGCAUAUGCGCGCGCACCCGGAACCUUGGGAAUGCCACAAUGGCAACAGUGAUCAUAAAGCCACGAUCAUUAUUGUGUCUCCCAACUAGAAAAAGGAGAAAAACCUCUCAGGCUAUAUAACUCCUGGCUAGAGGAGUCUUUCUAUGAGAUAGUGAGAGAAGGGUCGGGAAAAAACACUAGAGACACGAGACUAUUUAGACUACAAUAUAGGCUAAAAGAAGCAAAAAUCAAAAUUAAGCAAUGGGCUGCAACUAAAGGCAACUCUGCAAAAUUAGUGCAGGAGACAAGAAAAAUUGGACACUGCCAUUACGGCCCUAGAAAGAGACCCAAACUCAGUCCAACUACAAACCAAAAGUGCGGAACUGAGGAAGGACCUAAAAAACCUACUCUUUAGAGAAGAAGUAGAUUUAAAACAAAGGAGCAAGGUCUCUUAGCUAAAGGAAGGGGAUAAAAAUACUAGGUUCCUCGACAUAGUUACAAAGCAAAGAAAGGUAAAAAAACCAUAGAUCAAAAAAGCGGAAAGCGCUCCCAAUUUCCAGGGAGCGCUUUUUUAGCUUUAACCGCUUUAGCGACGCUUAAAGCGAAAAAAGCGGUAGUGGCAUAAUUGUAAAUAUUUGCAAUUUUCAAAAAAAUUGCAUAUAUACCCCUGUUUAUAUAUAUAAUUUUUUUAAAACCUGUACAUGUAUGAUGUAUGAUUAAACAUAAAAUAUAUAUAAACCUGUCAAUAUUUGUCCAUCAUCUUAAAAAUACACAUCCAAAACAAUUACAUCCAAGUUAUUUGAAAAAAACUAUCAAAUCAUUUACCCUAAUCAUCUAGACAAGCACCUAAUUUUAUAUUAUCUAGGCGAGGUCUAGGGUUUGGGUAAGAAGUGUGAGUGAAAGUGAGGGUUAGGGUUUGUUAGAAGAGUAGAAAGGGAAAUGAAAGAAUUUAAGUUCUUCCAUUUCGGGUAAUGGGUUGGCCCAACCCAUUUACCCGAACCGACCCGUGAACCCGCUAAAAAAAAGCGAUCUGAAAAGCGGUCCUAGAAAACCGCUUUUAUAGCUUUAAGCGGCGCUUUAAGCGCCGCUUUUAAAACUAUGAAAAAAACUCCAUACUCAAACUCUCUUAUCCGGUGAACAAGUUGGCACAGUUCACGGAGAAGCCAAAAGAAGCUCAUUGGGUCAUGAUGAAGAUAGUUUUGACUUUUGAGGUAUUUGUCUGGCACUCAAGGUAUGGGAAUAGUACACAGAAGAUGCAACACAUGCAGACUGGGCCUCUGAUGAGACUGACAGGAAAAGCCAGACUGGAUACAUGGUUUAUAUGAGAGAUUCUUUGAUCAUUUAGUGUUCUCAAUAUCAAGCACUGAAUCUGAGUUCAGAGCUAUCACUGCUGCAGCUAUUGAGUUGGAUUGGGUAGCUAAUCUAUUGCAUGAGAUGGGUAUAAAGAUAGAUAAACCCUAUGCAGUCUGGUCAAAUAAUUUAGGAACUACUCAAUUUGGCUGCAAAUCCUAUGUUUCACACUAAAAUCAAGCAUGCUGCAAUAGAUUCCAACUUUGUGAGAGAGAGUGAAAAAGAAUAUUCUAGAGGUGACUCACAUUCCUAACACAUUCACUAUAAGCAGAAAGUUGAUAUCCUGACCAAAGCUUUAAGGCCAGCACCAUUUCUUCAGCUCAAAGCCAACCUCAUCGAUGAACGAUGAUUAUAGAUGAGUUUGAGCGAGGCUAUUAGUAAAUAUUGGGUGUUAUUGGUAUUUUAGUAUAUUAGUCUAAUAGUUAAUUGUAAUUAGAUUUAGUAUGUCUAGAAUAUUCUAAUUCGAUACGACUCAACAGAAGUUAAUUAUUCUGUUGAGAUCUAACCCCUCCUAAUUGUAUGUAUAUUUAUAAUGACGUUUUAGGAGGGAUCAAUUACUUGAUCUUCCCUACCUUCCCAAAUUCUAGAUCUACUGAUAACUAAUACUAUCUAAUGUAUUUUAUUUUUAACUAAAAAAAUUAAUUGAUUAUUUUAUUGUCAUGCACUCAUGCCUAUAUUUUAGGGAUUGAUAUCAUGGUUCCAGAUGCGCUCGCAUAUGUGCGUGUGCGCCUCCAGAGGGAGAUGCACCUGGCACAUCUCCCUUAGCCAGAUCCAGGUGGAUCCGGUCCUGAUUUUAAAAAAACUGGCCUAAAUUUUUUUAUUUAUUUUAAGACCUUAUAAAUUUGUAUAAACAUUUUUAUGCCAAAAAUUUAUACAUGGUUCAUGAAAAGAGCUAUAUUAUUUUUUAUAUAAACUCCUCCCACUCUUAAACUUCAUGUUUGUUUUAGACAAAAUGAAUCUUUAUUUAUAAACCAACCUUCAUUGUGCCUUUUAAAUUCUAUCGAUAUGAGACUAAAAAAGUAUAGUUAAAUAAAUUAUAGAGUAUUGUUUGUACUUUUUGAAUUCUAUCAAUGUGGGACUAAAUAAAAUGUACAUGUGCUCAAGGUUUCAGAUGCGCCUCUGCGUGAUGAGCCACCACCUGGAGCACUUGAGCAUAUGCGACAGUGGCAUUUUCGUAAAUAUAUAUAAAACUAAAGGAAAUUCAUAUAUUUUUUUAUAUAUCUAAAUUAUAUCAAUUAAAUUUUUUAGUUAAAAAUAUAUUGGAUAGAAAAAUUAUUAUAAUACAUAUAUUUAUUAAUUAUUAUAACACCUUAUAAUUCAUUGUAACACCAAGGUUUAAAAACCGGUUAACCAUUUAGGGGUAUUUUCGUAAUAAUAUAGCUCUUUAAAUGGCUAGGGUUUCUUUAAACUUAUAAAAGAGAGACUUUUAUAAAAAGAAAAUAAUAAAUAACCCAAGAGGCUUUUAAAAAAUAAUAACGUAAUGAGCUGGGCUUUCUUUAAUACAUCUAUAACAUCAAAAAUACUCUAUAAUAAUAAUAAUUUAUUUAACUACACUUUU